UAGGGAAUCUUCCACAAUGGGCGCAAGCCUGAUGGAGCAACACCGCGUGAGUGAAGAAGGGUUUCGGCUCGUAAAGCUCUGUUGUUAAAGAAGAACACGUAUGAGAGUAACUGUUCAUACGUUGACGGUAUUUAACCAGAAAGUCACGGCUAACUACGUGCCAGCAGCCGCGGUAAUACGUAGGUGGCAAGCGUUAUCCGGAUUUAUUGGGCGUAAAGCGAGCGCAGGCGGUUAGAUAAGUCUGAAGUUAAAGGCUGUGGCUUAACCAUAGUACGCUUUGGAAACUGUUUAACUUGAGUGCAGAAGGGGAGAGUGGAAUUCCAUGUGUAGCGGUGAAAUGCGUAGAUAUAUGGAGGAACACCGGUGGCGAAAGCGGCUCUCUGGUCUGUAACUGACGCUGAGGCUCGAAGGCGUGGGGAGCGAACAGGAUUAGAUACCCUGGUAGUCCACGCCGUAGACGAUGAGUGCUAGGUGUUAGGUCCUUUCCGGGACUUAGUGCCGCAGCUAACGCAUUAAGCACUCCGCCUGGGGAGUACGACCGCAAGGUUG
RNAcentral lists this ribosomal RNA (549 nucleotides) under uncultured bacterium. RNAcentral's name for it is "bacterial SSU rRNA". It matches the Rfam family "Bacterial small subunit ribosomal RNA", at positions 355 to 896 of the family's 1533-position model. The record is from RNAcentral.